Molecule: ribosomal RNA, 432 nt
Filed under: uncultured bacterium
Lineage: Bacteria
Description: bacterial SSU rRNA
Rfam family: Bacterial small subunit ribosomal RNA
Source: RNAcentral
AACGCGAAGAACCUUACCUACCCUUGACAUACAGAGAACUUUCUAGAGAUAGAUUGGUGCCUUCGGGAACUCUGAUACAGGUGCUGCAUGGCUGUCGUCAGCUCGUGUCGUGAGAUGUUGGGUUAAGUCCCGUAACGAGCGCAACCCUUAUCCUUAGUUGCUACCAUUUAGUUGGGCACUCUAAGGAGACUGCCGGUGAUAAACCGGAGGAAGGUGGGGACGACGUCAGGUCAUCAUGGCCCUUAUGGGUAGGGCUACACACGUGCUACAAUGGCCGGUACAGAGGGCCGCAAACUCGCGAGAGUAAGCUAAUCCCUUAAAGCCGGUCCUAGUCCGGAUUGCAGUCUGCAACUCGACUGCAUGAAGCUGGAAUCGCUAGUAAUCGCGGAUCAGAAUGCCGCGGUGAAUUCGUUCCCGGGUCUGUACACACCG